UUAUAUGUUUUUCCAUAGUGCGAAUAUGGGAUCAUUAUUUUGAAUAAUUUAAUGGCAUUAUGAAGGGUGGGUUAGAAUUUGGUUCAAGACAACUUAUUGGAAGUGGAUUGAAGCUUGAAGCUGAUGUUUGGAUCAUUGAAUCACUUAAAAAAGUUGAGAAAAAGCAACUUCCAGCUUUAGCUUUAAGAGAAGAGCUUGAGGAAUUACACAAGGAGCUUAUGCAUUCCAGGUUAGAUAUCCACUCUAUUUCAUAUGGUGUGCGUUUUUUUUACUAAAACAGAAACCUACCGGAAAGUUCGGUUUUUGGGAUACGGAAACCAAUUACUUUCUCUUCUUAAGCGAUCUAUUUUUUUCUUUAGUUUUGCUUCUCCAGUUUUUUUUGGGAUUUUUCAGCCCCCACAUGCCAAUACACACAUUAUCUUUUUUCAGACUUCCACACGAAUCAGGCUUAGGCUUGGGUCGAUUCAUCCGAACAAGCAACACCAUAAGUCAUUAUGAUACCAACUACACCCAUUGUUUUUGUAAGACGCUGCACAUGGCUACCAGUUUGUAUAGUAAAAGCAAUUAGUAUGUGAAGUGAACGUUAAGUUGAACAGUGUUGUUAAUUUUGAAGCAAAUAAUAUACCAUGAGCAAAAUGAUUGUGUUUUCAUUAUCAAAAAAUGGUCCGCUUUGUUUUCUAUUGGUUUUUUCAAGAUGGGCCGAUUUGGUUUGUUUUCAUUUUUUUUAGCUUAAAAUUUUAUAAUAUGAUGAUCUGUAAGGAAUGGUACAGCUCUUUCAAGUUAGUGUGCUAAUCAAAACAAGCUGAAAGAAUCUGGAUGCCUUUUCCAUGAGACUUCAGGUGACUUUUUUAAACCUAUUAGCGUUUCUCGCAUGAAGUAAGUUCAAUUAGUUUCUCCAAUCGUUGCAGCUCACUAAACAUGAAACUAAAUAAUGUUAAUAAUCUUUAACUAAAUUGCAGGUAUCCUGAGGAAAUCCCAUGGGUGAAGCUUAAUCCGAAUAUGUUUUUCAUAGAUAAGGACAAAGUUGUACACAUUUGAAGGUGCAAAGAAGGUAAUUUUCGGUAGCUUCAUUUGAUUCCUUUCAGUGAUGAGGAUGAAUUCCAGCAUUUAUGACAACAGCUUUCUUCCUCCAUAUGUCGAUGCAUAAAUAGAUCUCUACUCAUAUUCCAGUGAAAAUAUGUCUCAGGCAAUCUAAAUGUGAAGCUUCUAUUGUUGUUAACAAUGGUGUGCGGUACUUUGUCGGUUUACAAUCCGUUAACCUCCCCGAAAACCAAAAGCCCGAGACCAGGACGCAGAAAACCAUCCUUAAUCGAUCAAUCUCGGGUCAAAAUGUAUGAGUUUGUUUCAGGUCAAAACAUAUAUGAAGAAAUAUGGGUUCAUGAUCACAUAGUGAUGGUUUGUUUUAAAGAGUAUUAAUUUGGUUUAGGUCAUCGCAAGUCAAUUCGUCUUUUUUAUGUCAUCAGAACAUUGUGUAUAGUGUCGACUUCGAGCAUGCUCGGUGUAAUAUCAACAGAACCGCUCACGUGGAGAUUCAUUAAAGUUUGGUUGCCUGUGAA
Molecule: long non-coding RNA, 1556 nt
Organism: Helianthus annuus (common sunflower)
Lineage: Eukaryota; Viridiplantae; Streptophyta; Magnoliopsida; Asterales; Asteraceae
Exons: 6
Source: RefSeq, a predicted model, not a curated record